GGCUUUCAGGCUCCGCGCAGUCUGCGGGCGGGAGGGUGCCAGCGAGGUGGUGAGGGCGGUGGGUGCGGGGACGCAGCAGCCCUGGCCAAGCCCAGAGACCGGAGGACACCCCCCUCCCAGCGCUCUAACACGGGUAACUUCCCGCUGCCCGGAACGGAGUUUCUCCGUUACCCACGGACAUCCAGGAGGCCGUGUGGAGGGCAAGCAGGGUAACCCCCACUCCUAAACCACCUCUAUCCAAGGGGAGCCCGAGGAGCCAGCAGGUCCGGACACUCUGAGGAGGCUCCUCGUGGGGCCUCCCACGCACAGGAUAUGCAAGAGACAGGACCGACCUGAGCUGGCACGUGGCUGAGAAGCAGAAAUCAUCCAGUCUACAGCCUCUUAAUGUUCUCCCAGCUGGGACCUCUCUGCUCUCUGUGGCCGGGGCCUCAGGACCUCCUGGAAGAGUGGGACAGACCCAGGACAGGGGAGGAGACAGAUUCCAGCUGCCCCCGCAUGCCAGAGCACCAACCGCUCUGUUCCUUACAAGCCUGCCAGGUCCCAGCUCUGCUUCCCUGACCCCAUCUGCAGUCGCAAGCAAGCCCCAGCCCUGGAGGGGCUGCACCCUGCAACCUUCCCACAGCUGUCUCCUUUGGAUCUUUUUGCGGUCUGGGCUUGCUGUUCUCUCGACAGUAGUCAGGAAGCCCUUACCCCAAAAAGUAUCUACGGGAGGCUUGGUCUACAGGGGAGACCCCCAAGGGCUCCAGCCCUCCUUCCUGGCAUUGGGUAGACAUGAGAUCCAAGACAGGCCUGGCUAUUGGAAUCCUGGGCAGAGGGACCUGUGACUGGGAACACCACAGUUGAUCCCAGCAGCCGAGUGAAGAUGGUAAGCCUCUGCGGCAGGAUGAGGUGUCUGCCUGCCGUCCCUUAGCCUGAGUCAGUCACCAUGACCCCCUUUCUCCUGUGAGUCACUACUAGUCCUUCAAAUAAAAUCCUUGACUGCUCAAGUUAACUGAA
RNAcentral lists this long non-coding RNA (996 nucleotides) under Mus musculus (house mouse). Its description in RNAcentral is "predicted gene 3294". The stretch from base 632 to 705 matches the Rfam family "mir-129 microRNA precursor family". Lineage: Eukaryota; Metazoa; Chordata; Mammalia; Rodentia; Muridae. The record is from RNAcentral.